CUUGACGACCAUAGAGCAUUGGAACCACCUGAUCCCAUCCCGAACUCAGCAGUGAAACGAUGCAUCGCCGAUGGUNCUAGCGCAGACAGGGGUUUUGUCGUUUAGG
This 106-nucleotide ribosomal RNA is filed under the name Pseudomonas lurida. The record is from RNAcentral. Lineage: Bacteria; Pseudomonadati; Pseudomonadota; Gammaproteobacteria; Pseudomonadales; Pseudomonadaceae.